Molecule: unclassified non-coding RNA, 368 nt
Filed under: uncultured fungus
Lineage: Eukaryota; Fungi
Description: partial contains 5.8S ribosomal RNA and internal transcribed spacer 2
Source: RNAcentral
UCAGCGGGUAUUCUCAUCUGAUCCGAGGCCAAACAAAUUUUAUUAUUUUAAGGCAGUAUACGGAAGAAUUCUCCCCCUUUCCAACAAUCCAUUUACUAAGUACGGAUGACUCAAUAAAAUUUUUGUCUUUCUUCGCACUUCGUAAAAUUAUCUUUACUGCAAUAGUGUUUGGAAUUCAGCAAAUGCCUAAAACAGUCGCAUUCUUCAUCAUCAAGCUGAAGCUCGGAGAUUGUAAUGGCGCUCGAACAGACGUAUCUCCUGGAAUAUCCAAGAGAUGCAAUGUGCGUUCAAAUAUUCAAUGACUCACUGUAUCUGCAAUUCGCAUUACAUUUCGCGUUUCGCUGCGUUCUUCAUCGUUGCUGGAGCCA